RNAcentral lists this ribosomal RNA (459 nucleotides) under uncultured bacterium. RNAcentral describes it as "bacterial SSU rRNA". It matches the Rfam family "Bacterial small subunit ribosomal RNA", at positions 340 to 793 of the family's 1533-position model. The record is from RNAcentral.
UACGGGAGGCAGCAGUGGGGAAUAUUGCACAAUGGGCGCAAGCCUGAUGCAGCCAUGCCGCGUGUAUGAAGAAGGCCUUCGGGUUGUAAAGUACUUUCAGCAGUGAGGAAGUGGAUAUGUUAAUAGCAUAUUCAUUUGACGUUAGCUGCAGAAGAAGCACCGGCUAACUCCGUGCCAGCAGCCGCGGUAAUACGGAGGGUGCGAGCGUUAAUCGGAAUUACUGGGCGUAAAGCGCAUGCAGGUGGUUUGUUAAGUCAGAUGUGAAAGCCCGGGGCUCAACCUCGGAAUUGCAUUUGAAACUGGCAAACUAGAGUACUGUAGAGGGGGUAGAAUUUCAGGUGUAGCGGUGAAAUGCGUAGAGAUCUGAAGGAAUACCGGUGGCGAAGGCGGCCCCCUGGACAGAUACUGACACUCAGAUGCGAAAGCGUGGGGAGCAAACAGGAUUAGAUACCCUGGUAG